GGUUCAUAAUGCAAUUCCAGCAUUUGAGGAAUAAAGUACUAAUUCCAUAAACUUUUUACGGGAUGAAAUCAACCACGACCUCAAGUACCCCCUAACAGUCCAGGAUCUAUGGAUUACCCUGUUGUCUAAAGUGUUUUUUUUUUUUCUCCUAAAAACACUUUAGACACAACUGGGUAAUCCCUAAAUCCUGGACUGUUAGGGGGUUCUUCAGGACUGGUUUGGG
Non-coding RNA from Pelobates cultripes (western spadefoot toad), 223 nucleotides. Lineage: Eukaryota; Metazoa; Chordata; Amphibia; Anura; Pelobatidae. The record is from the annotation of a GenBank genome assembly.